AACGAACGCUGGCGGCGCGUUUAAGACAUGCAAGUCGCACGGGAUAAGACAUGUAGUAAUACUUGUUUUAUUUAGUGGCGCACGGGUGAGUAACACGUGAAUUACAUGCCCUAUAGUGGGGAAUAGCCCAGGGAAACUUGGAGUAAUACUCCAUGGUAUCGAAAGAUUAAAGGGGGCCGCAAUGCUGACGCUAUAGGAUUGGUUCGCUACCUAUCAGCUUGUUGGUGAGGUAACGGCGCACCAAGGCAAUGACGGGUACCUGGUCUGAGAGGACGAUCAGGCACCAUGGAACUGAGACACGGUCCAGACACCUACGGGUGGAAGCAGUCGAGAAUAAUUCACAAUGGGGGCAACCCUGAUGGUGCAACGCCGCGUGGAGGAUGACGGUCUUCGGAUUGUAAACUCCUGUUAUCUGGGAGAAAGACCUGACGGUAAAUAGCCGGCAGGGUUGAUAGUACCAGAAGAGGAAGGGACGGCUAACUUCGUGCCAGCAGCCGCCGUAA
This 503-nucleotide ribosomal RNA is filed under the name uncultured bacterium. RNAcentral's name for it is "partial 16S ribosomal RNA". It matches the Rfam family "Bacterial small subunit ribosomal RNA", at positions 29 to 523 of the family's 1533-position model. The record is from RNAcentral.